RNAcentral lists this ribosomal RNA (541 nucleotides) under uncultured eukaryote. RNAcentral describes it as "SSU rRNA". It matches the Rfam family "Eukaryotic small subunit ribosomal RNA", at positions 202 to 746 of the family's 1831-position model. The record is from RNAcentral.
UGUAUUUAUUAGAUAAAAAACCAAUGCCCUUCGGGGCUUUUUGGUGAUUCAUGAUAACUUUACGGAUCGCAUAGCCUUGCGCUGGCGACGGUUCAUUCAAAUUUCUGCCCUAUCAACUUUCGAUGGUAAGGUAUUGGCUUACCAUGGUUUCAACGGGUAACGGGGAAUUAGGGUUCGAUUCCGGAGAGGGAGCCUGAGAAACGGCUACCACAUCCAAGGAAGGCAGCAGGCGCGCAAAUUACCCAAUCCCGACACGGGGAGGUAGUGACAAUAAAUACUGAUACAGGGCUCUUUUGGGUCUUGUAAUUGGAAUGAGUACAAUUUAAACCUCUUAACGAGGAACAAUUGGAGGGCAAGUCUGGUGCCAGCAGCCGCGGUAAUUCCAGCUCCAAUAGCGUAUAUUAAAGUUGUUGCAGUUAAAAAGCUCGUAGUUGAAACUUGGGCCUGNGCUGGCGGGUCCGCCUCACCGCGUGCACUCGUCCGGCCGGGCCUUCCUUCUGAAGAACCUCAUGCCCUUCACUGGGCGUGCUGGGGAACCAGG